UACGUAGGGGGCUAGCGUUGUCCGGAAUCAUUGGGCGUAAAGCGCGUGUAGGCGGUCCGGUAAGUCCGCUGUGAAAGUCGGGGGCUCAACCCUCGAAUGCCGGUGGAUACUGUCGGGCUAGAGUGCGGAAGAGGCGAGUGGAAUUCCUAGUGUAGCGGUGAAAUGCGCAGAUAUCAGGAGGAACACCAAUUGCGAAGGCAGCUCGCUGGGACGUAACUGACGCUGAGACGCGAAAGCGUGGGGAGCAAACAGG
RNAcentral lists this ribosomal RNA (253 nucleotides) under uncultured bacterium. Its description in RNAcentral is "partial 16S ribosomal RNA". It matches the Rfam family "Bacterial small subunit ribosomal RNA", at positions 524 to 776 of the family's 1533-position model. The record is from RNAcentral.